UCGGGAAUUUUGGGCAAUGGGGGAAACCCUGACCCAGCAACGCCGCGUGAAGGAUGAAGUAUUUCGGUAUGUAAACUUCGAAAGAAUAGGAAGAAUUAAUGACGGUACUAUUUAUAAGGUCCGGCUAACUACGUGCCAGCAGCCGCGGUAAUACGUAGGGACCAAGCGUUGUUCGGAUUUACUGGGCGUAAAGGGCGCGUAGGCGGCAUAGUCAGUCACUUGUGAAAUCUCCGGGCUUAACUCGGAACGGUCAAGUGAUACUGCUGUGCUAGAGUGCAGAAGGGGCAAUCGGAAUUCUUGGUGUAGCGGUGAAAUGCGUAGAUAUCAAGAGGAACACCAGAGGUGAAGACGGGUUGCUGGGCUGACACUGACGCUGAUGCGCGAAAGCCAGGGGAGCAAACGG
This 403-nucleotide ribosomal RNA is filed under the name uncultured bacterium. Its description in RNAcentral is "bacterial SSU rRNA". It matches the Rfam family "Bacterial small subunit ribosomal RNA", at positions 355 to 775 of the family's 1533-position model. The record is from RNAcentral.